This 77-nucleotide transfer RNA is filed under the name Candidatus Margulisbacteria bacterium GWD2_39_127. Its description in RNAcentral is "tRNA-Trp". It matches the Rfam family "tRNA". Rfam says of the family: Transfer RNA (tRNA) molecules are approximately 80 nucleotides in length. Their secondary structure includes four short double-helical elements and three loops (D, anti-codon, and T loops). The record is from RNAcentral. Lineage: Bacteria; Bacillati; Candidatus Margulisiibacteriota. RNAcentral also lists the same sequence under 3 other names.
AGGUCUGUAGCUCCAACUGGUAGAGCGGCGGUCUCCAAAACCGUAGGUUGACGGUUCGAAUCCGUCCAGGCCUGCCA